UUACGGGAGGCAGCAAUUAGGAAUCUUGCGCAAUGGGCGAAAGCCUGACGCAGCGACGCCGCGUGAAGGAUGACGGCCUUCGGGUUGUAAACUUCUUUUGUCAGGGAAGAAACAAAUGACGGUACCUGGCGAAUAAGCCCCGGCUAACUACGUGCCAGCAGCCGCGGUAAUACGUAGGGGGCGAGCGUUGUCCGAAUUUACUGGGCGUAAAGCGCGCGUAGGCGGACUUUUAAGUCGGUGGUGAAAUCUCAGGGCUCAACCCUGAAACUGCCGCCGAAACUGGGAGUCUUGAGGUAUGGAGAGGGAAGUGGAAUUCCUGGUGUAGCGGUGAAAUGCGUAGAUAUCAGGAGGAACACCCGUGGCGAAGGCGGCUUCCUGGUCAUAUCCUGACGCUGAGGUGCGAAAGCCAGGGGAGCGAACGGGAUUAGAUACCCUAGUAGUC
RNAcentral lists this ribosomal RNA (442 nucleotides) under uncultured bacterium. Its description in RNAcentral is "bacterial SSU rRNA". It matches the Rfam family "Bacterial small subunit ribosomal RNA", at positions 339 to 795 of the family's 1533-position model. The record is from RNAcentral.